RNAcentral lists this ribosomal RNA (253 nucleotides) under uncultured bacterium. RNAcentral describes it as "partial 16S ribosomal RNA". It matches the Rfam family "Bacterial small subunit ribosomal RNA", at positions 524 to 776 of the family's 1533-position model. The record is from RNAcentral.
UACGGAGGGGGCUAGCGUUGUUCGGAAUUACUGGGCGUAAAGCGCCCGUAGGCGGCUUUGUAAGUUAGAGGUGAAAGCCCGGGGCUCAACUCCGGAAUUGCCUCUAAGACUGCAUCGCUAGAAUUGUGGAGAGGUAAGUGGAAUUCCGAGUGUAGAGGUGAAAUUCGUAGAUAUUCGGAAGAACACCAGUGGCGAAGGCGACUUACUGGACACAUAUUGACGCUGAGGUGCGAAAGCGUGGGGAGCAAACAGG